UGGUGUGUGGUGUGAAAUGAACGAAAGAUAGACUUUUUCCAGCAGCCAAAUAGGCAAGAGGCUACAUGAUUCCAUGGACAUAACAAAGUUAUGGGCAUGGCCGAGAAGCCAAAAGGCCCGAUUCGUGUGGGAUUUUAUGACAUCGAGCGCACAAUAGGAAAAGGGAAUUUUGCUGUCGUAAAGCUAGCGAGACAUCGAAUAACCAAGACAGAGGUAGCUAUCAAAAUCAUAGAUAAGACUCAUCUAGAUGAAGUAAACUUGGAGAAAGUUUAUAGAGAAGUUCAAAUAAUGAAACAUCUUUCCCAUCCUAAUAUCAUCAAGCUUUAUCAGGUGAUGGAAACGAAGAACAUGGUGUAUUUAGUAUCAGAAUAUGCUAGUAAAGGGGAAAUAUUUGAGUUUAUUGCUCGUCAUGGUCGGAUGCCAGAGGCAGUGGCUCAGAAGAAAUUUUCUCAAAUCGUGUCUGCUGUACAAUACUGCCAUAAUCAAUGCAUUGUACAUCGAGAUCUAAAGGCGGAAAACCUUUUACUGGAUGACAACAUGAACAUCAAAAUAGCAGAUUUUGGUUUCAGCAAUUAUUACUCAUUGGAUAACCUCCUGACCACAUGGUGCGGGAGUCCUCCAUACGCAGCACCAGAGGUAUUUGAAGGCAAGAAAUAUGUGGGUCCCGAGAUCGAUGUUUGGAGUUUAGGCGUGGUACUUUACGUGAUGGUGUGUGGAACCCUACCUUUUGACGGAAGUAGUCUUCAAGUCCUUCGGGAGCGUGUUUUAUCUGGACGCUUUCGCAUUCCAUACUUCAUGUCUUCGGAAUGUGAAAACAUAAUUCGUCGGAUGCUAGUGUUAGACCCAAGCAAACGGUUCACUAUAGAAUACAUCAAGCAACAUAAGUGGAUGCAGGUUGAACGUGGGAACUCUUUGCCCCUUCCACUACAUCUUGGUUCUUUUUAUAGUGAUAGGGAAGCGGCCAAGGUUGGAGAAUUCAACGAGAAAAUUCUGAGGUUAAUGGAGAGUCUAGGCAUCGAUACGACUAAAACUAGAGAGUCUUUAGUGAAUGAGAAGUAUGACCAUCACGCUGCCAUCUACUUCCUUUUAUUGGAUCGUCUUCGGCAACAUCGGGCAACUGUUUCAGCUGCUAUACUGAAACAACCAGCUGACAUUUGCGACCUGCGCAGACCUAGCACCAUAGCUGAGCAAGCAAUGAGAAAAUUAGAUUCGCCAUUGCCAGUUUAUAAUCUUUAUCCUCAGUCAGUAUGUCCAUCAUCCGGGUCACCUACGUCACAAGCGGAUGCUGUGGAUUAUCAGUCUGAGUCGCGUCCAUACAUUGGUGCUUUGAGGCAUCAUGUGUUUAGUAAAACAACAGACGGAACGACGACAUUUGGUGGGCCUUUUAUUGGGCAUGCGUAUCGAAUUAGCAAGAAAGAGAUUGGUCAACUUUUACCUCUUUCAGUCCAUUCUAAACCUGAAGCUUAUCAAAUCCCUAAAGUAUUUCGCAGUCAAACUGGUAGUCCCAUGUCCAAAGUAACCGAGUCAUUAGAUGAAGGAUUGGAGGCUGAUUUUAGCGAAGGAUCUAGAGACUCCAAGACCCCACCCUUAGUUACACGAAGAUCGUCUUGCCAGUAUAGUGAACACGCUACUUGCUGUGGAGCGUUUUCCGAAUUAAAUGAUGGUCAUAGAGACAGCCCACCACUAAGCAAUCUCACACAAAUGCUUAGUUUGUCAGACUCGCCUGUUGGAAGUUUCACUAGCCAAGAGUCUAACUUUGAUAGUUUUGAUUCGCAAAUAGAAACAGACUUUGCGUCUAGUCUGUCUUCCUGUGCUGCGCAGGAAAACCUGAGUAUUGGAAAUUUUUAUGAUAGUCGUGAUGAAUCGCUGUGUGCAACCAUUCCGUGUGAGGUACUCUCACAAACUAGAAUCCCCAUUCGAAUCAACAAUAAAAAUCGAUCUUCUUAUAGACAUAAUCCAAUAGACUUCGAUCGCAGUGCUAAAGACUCCCCCACAAGUUUUCGAGAAGGUCGUCGUGCCUCAGAUAGUUUUUUUGCUGAAGGUGUAGUCCCAUUUUGUCAGAGACUUAGCCAGUCUUCUAAAGCUCAUGGGAUUGUUAGAUUAAACGAAGUUAAACAAGAAUACCAGCAACUUCAGAAUCUGUAUCCAAGUCAGUUGCCACAUGCUCAGAAAUUCCAUAACAAACUACAACACACACAAUACUGGUCAAUUACCAGAAGCUCAGUUCCAUCUUCAAAUAACCAUCUGCCAACCAAAAUUUAUAAACGUGUCAGUCUCCCAGAGAAUUUUACUGAUAUUUCAAAGUCUUCAGCUAUAACACAGAGAAUAGUUUGUGAAGAACCCCGGCUAGUGCCUCCCACAGAAUGUGGAGGAAUGCUAGUUGGUCAAAACAAACUUUUGCAAAAACAACUGCUUCAUCAGAGUCUUCAGCAGAAGAGACAAGUAUUACAAAAACAAUCGGCACUUUACCGCCGUCAGAUGGUGCGUCAAACAUCCUACACGCUUGCGCUGCCAGUCCCUUUGUUGCCUCCUCGUCCUGCAGAUCUUAUAAGUACUGCGUUACCUUUCCAGCCCAUUAGUGAAGAUAUAACUUCUCCAUCGGAUGAAGAAACUCACUGCCAGUUUUAUACACAAGAAGAGAAAUCCAAAGUUAUUGAAUAGAAUUACCCAAAACUGACCAUGGCGGGGAUUUGUCCUUUCAUUUCGUCAUUUCAGCCCUUCAGAUGAUAACGGUACUUUCAAGAAAGUGUAUCAGAAUGCAUUUAGGAAAGGAGAAACAAAAAACUAAUUUGUGUCUAGUCAAAUCAGGAUGAUUUCUUUUGGGGAGUCUGGUAAUUAAAGUCAGAGAGGACGUACUGAUUUCAGGUAUACCCUACAAUGGUUGUGUGGAUCAGAAAGACAUCUUAGUCAACAAGUUUACCAAGCAACAUCUGAGUGAGAUGAUGAGGCAUCACAUGAGCAUACAAGACAUCCAUAUCAUAACAGAGACAAGGUCAGUAGCAAUGAGGUUCGAAGUGGUCACAUUAGACGAAGAAUUGUCAUAAAAAAGAGGAAGCCAAUGGAAGCCAUGACUUCUCUAAGUAUGAUUCACUUUACCCAUAGUGGUGUCAAAUGAUGAGCCACAACCAGGACUACAAGGUG
RNAcentral lists this unclassified non-coding RNA (3141 nucleotides) under Limulus polyphemus (Atlantic horseshoe crab). RNAcentral describes it as "serine/threonine-protein kinase SIK2-like, transcript variant X2". The record is from RNAcentral. Lineage: Eukaryota; Metazoa; Arthropoda; Merostomata; Xiphosura; Limulidae.